Molecule: long non-coding RNA, 658 nt
Filed under: Musa acuminata (dwarf banana)
Lineage: Eukaryota; Viridiplantae; Streptophyta; Magnoliopsida; Zingiberales; Musaceae
Description: long non-coding RNA (MACU_LNC002983)
Source: RNAcentral
GAGACGCUCCCCGCUGAGCCACUCCUUCCCUUCCUCCAAAUCUCUCACGCUUCGCCAGCGACGGCGGACGAUCUCACGUCCCAUGGUAACACCUACCGGUGCUCUUUUCUUGAAUUCUCAUUGUAUCAACCCAGAUGUCAAAUCACACCGUAGCAGCAUCUGUAGAAACGGAUGGUAUUUUUUUGGCUUCUGUUGAUCUAUCAAAAGUCGAUACAUUUUGAAUAAAGAAUUCCUAUACGAUGCCUAGGAAAUGAAUUCGCCUGAUCUCUCUACGAAGUCAACCGCUCAGUUUGACAUCUUUGGGCUUUGGCUGGCAGUAGUACGAGGAGACGCAAAUCUAGAAGUCGCAGCAGUUCGUGGCGACAGAUUUACUUGUUCGAGAGCACGGCACUGAAGCUCGGGUGGAUAGUCCCUCACGCAGGCGAUCCGCGGCCCUGUGCCUGUUGCCCACUUAAAGGAUAGCUGCUUCCCCAGCUGAUACGACUUCAGGCCUUUCUUUGAGUUGAUCCUACGAAGGAUCAGCUCCGACGGUAUGGAUGUUUCUUCCUCCUUUUGUUGUGCGGCGUCAGAGAAGUCUCGUUCGCAUCCUUCAGGUUUUUCUUCCUCCGAACUGAUACUCUUUGACUCUCUCGGGUUAUUUGUCUCCUCGCCUGCUUCU